CCUACGGGAGGCAGCAGUGGGGAAUAUUGGGCAAUGGGCGCAAGCCUGACCCAGCAACGCCGCGUGAAGGAAGAAGGCUUUCGGGUUGUAAACUUCUUUUAAGAGGGAAGAGCAGAAGACGGUACCUCUUGAAUAAGCCACGGCUAACUACGUGCCAGCAGCCGCGGUAAUACGUAGGUGGCAAGCGUUAUCCGGAUUUACUGGGUGUACAGGGCGUGCAGCCGGGAAGACAAGUCAGAUGUGAAAUCCAGCGGCUCAACCGCGGAACUGCAUUUGAAACUGUUUUUCUUGAGUACCGGAGAGGUCAGCGGAAUUCCUGGUGUAGCGGUGAAAUUCGUAGAUAUAAGGAAGAACACCAGUGGCGAAGGCGGAUGACUGGACGGCAACUGACGGUGAGGCGCGAAAGCGUGGGGAGCAAACAGGAUUAGAUACCCGAGUAGUC
This 442-nucleotide ribosomal RNA is filed under the name uncultured bacterium. Its description in RNAcentral is "partial 16S ribosomal RNA". It matches the Rfam family "Bacterial small subunit ribosomal RNA", at positions 338 to 795 of the family's 1533-position model. The record is from RNAcentral.